This 253-nucleotide ribosomal RNA is filed under the name uncultured bacterium. RNAcentral's name for it is "partial 16S ribosomal RNA". It matches the Rfam family "Bacterial small subunit ribosomal RNA", at positions 524 to 776 of the family's 1533-position model. The record is from RNAcentral.
UACGUAGGGGGCUAGCGUUGUCCGGAUUUAUUGGGCGUAAAGAGCGUGUAGGCGGCCAGGUAGGUCUGCUGUGAAAACUCGAGGCUCAACCUCGAGACGUCGGCGGAAACCAUCUGGCUAGAGUCCGGAAGAGGAGAGUGGAAUUCCUGGUGUAGCGGUGGAAUGCGCAGAUAUCAGGAAGAACACCCGUGGCGAAGGCGGCUCUCUGGAACGGUACUGACGCUGAGACGCGAAAGCGUGGGGAGCGAACAGG